AGUGAACGCUGGCGGUAGGCCUAACACAUGCAAGUCGAACGGCAGCACAGUAAGAGCUUGCUCUUACGGGUGGCGAGUGGCGGACGGGUGAGGAAUACAUCGGAAUCUACUUUUUCGUGGGGGAUAACGUAGGGAAACUUACGCUAAUACCGCAUACGACCUACGGGUGAAAGCAGGGGAUCUUCGGACCUUGCGCGAUUGAAUGAGCCGAUGUCGGAUUAGCUAGUUGGCGGGGUAAAGGCCCACCAAGGCGACGAUCCGUAGCUGGUCUGAGAGGAUGAUCAGCCACACUGGAACUGAGACACGGUCCAGACUCCUACGGGAGGCAGCAGUGGGGAAUAUUGGACGAUGGGCGCGAGCCUGAUCCAGCCAUACCGCGUGGGUGAAGAAGGCCUUCGGGUUGUAAAGCCCUUUUGUUGGGAAAGAAGAGCAGCAGGUUAAUACCCCGCUGUUCUGACGGUACCCAAAGAAUAAGCACCGGCUAACUUCGUG
This 492-nucleotide ribosomal RNA is filed under the name uncultured bacterium. RNAcentral describes it as "partial 16S ribosomal RNA". It matches the Rfam family "Bacterial small subunit ribosomal RNA", at positions 29 to 507 of the family's 1533-position model. The record is from RNAcentral.